UAGGGAAUAUUAGAAAUGGACGAAAGUCUGAUCUAGCAACACCGCGUGUGCGAAGAAGGCCUUCGGGUUGUAAAGCACUUUUUGGAAGGAUUAGGAAGGAAUGUACUUCCAGAAUAAGUCUCGGCUAACUACGAGCCAGCAGCCGCGGUAACACGUAGGAGGCGAACGUUAUCCGGAUUUACUGGGCGUAAAGCGCGUGUAGGUGGUUCUGUAAGUAGGGCGUGAAAGCUCCUGGCUCAACUGGGAGAGGCCGUUCUAAACUGCAGAGCUAGAGGAUGGUAGAGGGAGGUGGAAUUCCGGGUGUAGCGGUGGAAUGCGCAGAUAUCCGGAGGAACACCAGUGGCGAAGGCGGCCUCCUGGACCAUUCCUGACACUCAGACGCGAAAGCGUGGGGAGCAAACA
RNAcentral lists this ribosomal RNA (402 nucleotides) under uncultured prokaryote. RNAcentral describes it as "bacterial SSU rRNA". It matches the Rfam family "Bacterial small subunit ribosomal RNA", at positions 355 to 774 of the family's 1533-position model. The record is from RNAcentral.